CCUACGGGGGACAGCAGUCGAGAAUCAUUCACAAUGGGGGAAACCCUGAUGGUGCGACGCCGCGUGGGGGAAUGAAGGUAUUCGGAUUGUAAACCCCUGUCAUGUGGGAGCAAAUUAAAAAGAUAGUACCACAAGAGGAAGAGACGGCUAACUCUGUGCCAGCAGCCGCGGUAAUACAGAGGUCUCAAGCGUUGUUCGGAAUCACUGGGCGUAAGGCGUGCGUAGGCUGUUUCGUAAGUCGUGUGUGAAAGGCGCGGGCUCAACCCGCGGACGGCACAUGAUACUGCGAGACUGGAGUAAUGGAGGGGGAACCGGAAUUCUCGGUGUAGCAGUGAAAUGCGUAGAUAUCGAGAGGAACACUCGUGGCGAAGGCGGGUUCCUGGACAUUAACUGACGCUGAGGCACGAAGGCCAGGGGAGCGAAAGGGAUUAGAUACCCCAGUAGUC
Molecule: ribosomal RNA, 446 nt
Filed under: uncultured bacterium
Lineage: Bacteria
Description: partial 16S ribosomal RNA
Rfam family: Bacterial small subunit ribosomal RNA
Source: RNAcentral